RNAcentral lists this ribosomal RNA (343 nucleotides) under uncultured bacterium. Its description in RNAcentral is "SSU rRNA". It matches the Rfam family "Bacterial small subunit ribosomal RNA", at positions 26 to 378 of the family's 1533-position model. The record is from RNAcentral.
AGAACGAACGCUGGCGGCGUGGAUAAGACAUGCAAGUCGAACGGGAUCAUCUGGUAGUAAUACUAGGUGGUUCAGUGGCGAACGGGUGCGUAACACGUGGGUCACAUUCCGGGAAGUGAGGCAUAGCCCAGGGAAACUUGGAUUAAUUCCUCAUGUGGUCGCAAGACUAAAGGCGCAAGCCGCUUCCUGAUUGGCCCGCGGCCUAUCAGCUUGUUGGCGGGGUAAAAGCCCACCAAGGCGACGACGGGUAGCUGGUCUUAGAGGACGACCAGCCACACUGGAACUGAGACACGGUCCAGACACCUACGGGUGGCAGCAGUCGAGAAUCUUUCACAAUGGGGGC